This 433-nucleotide ribosomal RNA is filed under the name uncultured bacterium. RNAcentral's name for it is "partial 16S ribosomal RNA". It matches the Rfam family "Bacterial small subunit ribosomal RNA", at positions 29 to 507 of the family's 1533-position model. The record is from RNAcentral.
AACGAACGCUGGCGGCAGGCUUAACACAUGCAAGUCGAACGGAUCCUUCGGGAUUAGUGGCAGACGGGUGAGUAACGCGUGGGAACGUACCCUUUGCUACGGAAUAACUCAGGGAAACUUGAGCUAAUACCGUAUGUGCCCUACGGGGGCAAGAUUUAUCGGCAAAGGAUCGGCCCGCGUUGGAUUAGCUAGUUGGUGGGGUAAUGGCCUACCAAGGCGACGAUCCAUAGCUGGUCUGAGAGGAUGAUCAGCCACACUGGGACUGAGACACGGCCCAGACUCCUACGGGAGGCAGCAGUGGGGAAUAUUGGACAAUGGGCGCAAGCCUGAUCCAGCCAUGCCGCGUGAGUGAUGAAGGUCUUAGGAUUGUAAAGCUCUUUCACCGGUGAAGAUAAUGACGGUAGCCGGAGAAGAAGCCCCGGCUAACUUCGUG